UGAGAGCCGGAGCAGCACUGAAUAGGCCUUUAAUCGCUUGCUGAACUAACUAGCUAGAUUGAUGGUCGUAGGGUAGUUGGUACGUUUGAUGAGAAGUGAUUAUCUACGGUUAUCUAAAAGACAACCACAGGCGAAGGCAAGUACCUAGGCUACACUGACACUGAGGUACUGAAGCGUGGGGAGCAAAUCCGGAUUAGAGACCCGAGUAGUGCACGCCGUCAACGAUGGGUGUUGCAUAUACGUUUUUGUACUUUGGUACUUCACUAAAGAACGUGUGUGUAAGCUAACGCGUUAAACACCCCCACCCUGGGGAGUACGGUCGCAAGAUUAAAACUCAAAGGAAUUGCGGGGAAGUUGCAGCAGCGGUGGAAUAUGUGGUUUAAUUUGAUAUAACGCAAAAAACCUUACCAAUUCUUGAAAUGCAAAGGAGUUUGUUCUGUUCGGAACUGUAAUCUUCAAGAUUUUGAAUGAUAUAAUACCUUUGCACAGGUGUUGCAUGGCUGUCGUCAGCUCGUGUUGUGAAAUGUAUGGUUAAUUCCUCCAACGGGCGCAACCCUUGCGCAUACAUUGUAUGCGGACGGUCUACAAAAUGUAGAAGGAAGGUGAGGAUGACGUCAAGUCAGUAUGGCCUUUAUGAAUUGGGCUACACAUGUAUUACAAUGGUUGUCACAAAGAAUAGCAAUAGUGCGAGCUGGAGCAAGUUUUUAAAAAGCAACCUUAGUUCAGAUUGGUCUUUGCAAGUCGGGACCAUGAAGGCGGAAUCGCGAGUAAUCGCAAAUCAUCAUGUUGCGGUGAACAGUUUACAGCUUCACGACACACCGCCCGUCACGCCAUGGAAAUUGGUUUUGGUUGAAACAAAAUUUUAUGUAUUGGGCUAGCUUUUAGUGUGAUGGUUUUUCCUGGGCGCUAUCAGUACCCUUUGCGUAUAUUCGUUAGACUAAAAUUAAGGACUGGGGUGAAGUCGUAACAAGGUAACC
RNAcentral lists this ribosomal RNA (977 nucleotides) under uncultured bacterium. RNAcentral's name for it is "bacterial SSU rRNA". It matches the Rfam family "Bacterial small subunit ribosomal RNA", at positions 595 to 1501 of the family's 1533-position model. The record is from RNAcentral.